AGUUGCCUCAGUGGAGGCACUCAGCUCGGGUGGUCUCCUGCCCCGUGGGGCAAGCUGGCCGGAGGAAGGAGGUGAUCGCCCGGCGCUGGGAUGCUGUGGAGCAAGGAGAAGGCAAGUUGAGGUUUACUUGCUGGUGGGAUCGCACUUGAAGGUGGAUGAAAUUCAGCUCUGAAGCAGGGGGAGGUCUGGCAAUGGACCUGGCGCGGCUGUUGGUGGUGGACGGAUUGCCGGAAGGUUUGCAUUCAGUGCCUGGUUGAUGCCGCAAGGCUACAAGACUGGCCGAGGGAUGCAAACGGGUUUGGAAGCCUAGUUUGUUUAUUAACAGGCGGACAAACCGAGGAGGGAAGCUGCCCAUUUGGCAGCGGGUGAGUGUCCCUAGGCGAAUUCUGUGGUGAGGGAAAGUUGCCCAUCGGCUUCUAGUGGUGGCGCCUAGGUGAAGCCAGGUUCACAUUUGGGGAUGUCAGUGGAGGCCGAGAGGCCCGUGAAGCUGGCCGAUCCAUUUGUGAACGCUAUCUGGUGACAUUCACCUUUGUCUUUGGCCCUCAACCUAAGGUCAACAGACCUACCUUUUGAGAAUGUCAGCUUGCUGACAUUCAUAGAGCUCUUGACCUUACGUCGACGGCCAAAGCGAGGAGGGAAACUACCCGGCACAGCCCUAGAGGUGGAAACCAGGGAAACCAGUGUAGUCCCAUGUGGAUCUACCACUUCAAACUGGUGACCCUCCACUUCUGCAACCUGCCUUGACGGGGCAGGCCAGUCAGGGAUGAAGUUGUCAGACCAAAGCCUGUGGAAGAGUCUGGGUGGACGCUGUGAUAGUCGCCAUCCCAUCAACGUGUUUGCCUUUGCCUUUCAGGGACAUCCAAUGCCGGCGAGGUUUUCCCCAAGACCAGAUGGUGGCGGCAAGCUGGCAAGUGGAAGGAGGCGAUCGCCUGGCGUUGGGAUGCUGUGGAGCAAGGAGAAGGCAAGUUCCAGUUGACUUGCUAGUGGGAUCGCUACCUGAAGGCGGCCGAUAUUCAGCUCUGAAGCUGGCUUACGUCUGGCGAUGGACCUGGCCAGGCUGUUGGUGGUGGAUGGAUGCCGGAAGAGUUUGCAUUCAGGCUAGCGGAUGCCGCGAGGCUACGCCUGUCGAAAUGGGUGCAAACUGUGGUUUGGAAGCCUAGUUUGUUUAUUAACAGGCAGCCAAACCGAGGAGGGAAGCUGCCGCUAGGGCAGCGGGUGAAUGCCCCUAGGCGGAAACCAGUUGUGAUUUGCAUUUGCAUUUAAAUGAUGUCAGUGAACGCCCUAAGCUGAAGCUGGCUGAUAUUUGCAGGUGUGGACCAGCUGGUGGUGAGGAGGGAAAGUUGCCCAUUUGGCAGCUCGUGGAGGCGUCUAGGUGAAGCCAGUGUUCACAAAUAGACGCCAAGGGAGGCCGCAAGGCUGAUGAAGCUGGCUGCUAUUUGUGGACAUGGCUGGCAUUCACCCAUGUCUUUGGCCCAUCCAUUUAAUGACAAAAGGCCUAGGCCUCUUGACAUUAAACGGAUGGCCAAAUUGAGGAGGGAAGAUGCCCGGCACAGCCAUGGAGGUGCUCAACUGGAGCCAGCGAACUUCACAAAUAGACGCCAGCGGAGGCCGCAAGGCUGAUGAAGCUGGCUGCUAUCUGUCAACCAAAACUGGUUUUCCUUCAUCUCCGGGAGCCUGCCCAUUGCGCAGGCCUGCCAGGGGUGAAGUUGCCAGGCGGAAGCCAGGGGAGUCUGGGUUGACGCUGUCGGAUGGUGGUCACCCCACUCAUCUGUUUGCCUUUGCCUUUCAGGGAUGGCCGGAGCCAGCAAGGUUUCCCCAGAGACCAGCCAUGAAAGUCAUGAAGAGAACCGCAGGACUUAAGCCAGACAGUUCCUGUUUUCUAAAUAAACGGCUUUCUAUUUUUUUUCAAAAUAAAUGUUUUAUGAAAAGAAA
Molecule: long non-coding RNA, 1932 nt
Filed under: Podarcis lilfordi (Lilford's wall lizard)
Lineage: Eukaryota; Metazoa; Chordata; Lepidosauria; Squamata; Lacertidae
Source: RNAcentral